GCAGGGAUGCUGCCCGGGGCCCCAAGUGCACAAAGUGGGCGCGGGCUGUCCAGGAAAAGUUCUAGAAACAAUCAGCCCGGGAGCGCGGGGCGUCAGGGGUGCUGGAAACCGCCGGGGCCUCCUCUUCCCCUUUCCUUCCCCUGGGCGCACAGGGCAGCGCUGGCAGCUGUUUCUUCCCUUUAGAAACGCCAUUCCGAGCCACAGUGAGAAGUAAACACAGAAAAAGCUACAACUGGAUCCUCUGGGCCUCACCUCGGGUGUUUGCCACGGUCCCUGAUUUGUGUGAAGAUAGUGGUUCCAGCGUGAUGGGCGCGUGCGCGCGCGCGCGCGCGGAGUGAACUUGGCGCAGGACACCCCCUUGGACUUGAGACCGUGCGCCCAGGAUGUCUUAUCUCAGCAUCAAGGGCUUCUGCGGAGUGGCUGGGAGAUUAUGCAAUCGAACUCGUAACGCCCAUUCAGAGGGUGAGCUCAGCCGGAGCGCGGGUGCCUGCGAAGUAAACAGGAAUGCCGUCCGUCUUGCCUCCAGACCUCGUCUGCCCCCCGGGACAAAGUCACCUCCGGGAAGAAUCUCAGGGCUGAUUUUGUGAUGAAUUUUACCUGCCUGAACAAGACUGGAUACACUAGGGAUCUGAGUUUUAAAGGGCUAGUCUACCUUUUUUCAAAUCUAUUUUUUCAAGAUUGUAUUAUGCUGACCAGCGUGGCUCAGUGUGGCUGGCCUGGCUGAUAGGUUGAGCCUAUCUAUAAACCCGGAGGUCUUGAUUCGAUUCCCAGUCAGGGCACAUGCCUGGGUUGUGGGC
Molecule: long non-coding RNA, 797 nt
Organism: Myotis brandtii (Brandt's bat)
Lineage: Eukaryota; Metazoa; Chordata; Mammalia; Chiroptera; Vespertilionidae
Exons: 4
Source: RefSeq, a predicted model, not a curated record